RNAcentral lists this non-coding RNA (26 nucleotides) under Homo sapiens (human). Lineage: Eukaryota; Metazoa; Chordata; Mammalia; Primates; Hominidae. The record is from RNAcentral.
UACUGGUGAAGAACAUGGUGUGGUGU